Molecule: long non-coding RNA, 287 nt
Filed under: Selaginella moellendorffii
Lineage: Eukaryota; Viridiplantae; Streptophyta; Lycopodiopsida; Selaginellales; Selaginellaceae
Description: long non-coding RNA (SMOE_LNC002108)
Source: RNAcentral
UGGAGCCGCCGCUGGGACAGAACUUCUGCGGUAACGCCGCGUAUGGAGCUUUCGCGGAGCUCACACUCGCUGAUCUCCGUGAGCUUCCACUCUCGUCUAUCGCUGGUCGUGUCCAGGAGGCAAAGAGGCGAGUUAGCAACGAGUACGUUCGAUCUGGAUGGGACUACCUGGAGUUGCAUCCGGAUGCUUGGUACCACCACGACUGCGAGACGAUGAUCAACGCUUGGCCGAGGCUGAUGCGCGAGUCCCUGGAGCUGGAUUUCGGAUGGGGGAAGCCGCGAAGAGUG